Molecule: ribosomal RNA, 491 nt
Filed under: uncultured bacterium
Lineage: Bacteria
Description: partial 16S ribosomal RNA
Rfam family: Bacterial small subunit ribosomal RNA
Source: RNAcentral
AGUGAACGCUGGCGGUAGGCCUAACACAUGCAAGUCGAACGGCAGCACAGUAAGAGCUUGCUCUUACGGGUGGCGAGUGGCGGACGGGUGAGGAAUACAUCGGAAUCUACUUUUUCGUGAGGGAUAACGUAGGGAAACUUACGCUAAUACCGCAUACGACCUACGGGUGAAAGCAGGGGAUCUUCGGACCUUGCGCGAUUGAAUGAGCCGAUGUCGGAUUAGCUAGUUGGCGGGGUAAAGGCCCACCAAGGCGACGAUCCGUAGCUGGUCUGAGAGGAUGAUCAGCCACACUGGAACUGAGACACGGUCCAGACUCCUACGGGAGGCAGCAGUGGGGAAUAUUGGACAAUGGGCGCAAGCCUGAUCCAGCCAUACCGCGUGGGUGAAGAAGGCCUUCGGGUUGUAAAGCCCUUUUGUUGGGAAAGAAAGCAGCAGGUUAAUACCCCGCUGUUCUGACGGUACCCAAAGAAUAAGCACCGGCUAACUUCGUG